AUGCAAGUCACACCCCCAAUACACAGCAAAACUCAAUGCCAGGUAUCACCUGGAACUCAUGUUGCAGGCCUUGCCCCCCAUGGGGUUAGAAGAGCCACCCACCACAUGUGCAGGAGUGCCUUGAUCAUCCGGGGCCAAGUCCAGCCCACCGUCUGUGCUUGUGAAAUUGCAGGAGAGCCUACACCGGGCAACUCCACCCCGCGGGGAUUUUUAUUAAGGACCGUAAUCACCAAAUCAUCCGCUGCCCCACCAGCCACAGGCUCCGGGCCCACCCCUUCAAAGGGGAUUUUUGCCAUGUUCACAGCCCACACACAUGAUCCCAAAUACUUUAUAAGCUCUGGUGAACGCUGUGGUAAAUCUGCAGGAGAAUCAGCGGUUAGCAGCACAUCAGAGGACACAGACUUUACAGUACACUUCCACAAAAGAAUGUGUGGUUCGAGCAAGAGGACACGGGGCGAGAGAGCCUGACCACCACCAUCUUGGCCAAUCAAUCUUUCCCUGCAACUACCUAGAAAUGAACUUAACGUGCAAACCCUUUUGAAGAAAAUGUUGCUAUGUUACUGGAAAGUAUAAAAAAUUAGAAAAAUUAUACCAUGUACCUGGUAAUAUGUCCAUUAUCCCCCUGAUUGAUUCCUAAAUAUAAUGCAAGUUCAAUUUGAAAAUCUGUAUUGUUUUGGAACUCUAUAAAAUGAUAUGAAAUUCAUCAUAUUUGAGCAAAUACUCCGGGGGGGGGGAACCCUGUAAGAGUGAUGAAGAAAUACAUAAUCUUUAGAUAUUAUAAUGAAGUGCAAUGUAAAUCUACAGUAACUAAAACAGCAUUAAAACAAACAAAUUAAUGGAACAAAAUAUAAUGUCCAGGAAGAACUGCAAAUGAAUUUGAAACUUUCUUUCAAUUAAAUAAGAAAGAAUGGGUGUUUCAAUCACUGAGUGUUGAGCCUUGUUUUAGAUUUGGAGACAUCUUUAUAUCAAAUCUUUACCUCACGCCUUUUAUCAAAAUACAUUUGGAUUGUUAAAAGAUUUAAACAUAAAAAUAAGACCACCAGCAGAGAAGAACAGUUCUCUAAAAUAUUCAUUCAAAGGAAAGCAAAGGCUGGUGAAUACUUUUUAUAAACUUUUCAAGAAGCAGUUUUCUUAGUAUGACAUCAAAGCCAAG
Molecule: long non-coding RNA, 1153 nt
Filed under: Capra hircus (goat)
Lineage: Eukaryota; Metazoa; Chordata; Mammalia; Artiodactyla; Bovidae
Description: lncRNA (ENSCHIG00000007067.1)
Source: RNAcentral